RNAcentral lists this non-coding RNA (29 nucleotides) under Homo sapiens (human). The record is from RNAcentral. Lineage: Eukaryota; Metazoa; Chordata; Mammalia; Primates; Hominidae.
GAGCCUUCCACCGCAACAGUCUGGACAUC